GUGCACCAGGCGCGAAACUUCACAAUGUGCGAAAGCACGAUGAGGGAAUCCCAAGUGCUUGCACGUAAGUGUAAGCUGUUUCUCUGUCUAAAACGCAGAGAGAGUAAGGGCUGGGUAAGACGGGUGCCAGCCGCCGCGGUAAUACCUGCAGCUCGAGUGGUGACCGUUAUUAUUGGGCCUAAAACGUCCGUAGCCGGUUUAAUAAAUGCCUGGGUAAAUCGGACCGCUUAACGGUUCGAAUUCCGGGUAGACUGUUAAACUUGAGACCGGGAGAAGUUAGAGGUACUCCUGGGGUAGAGGUGAAAUUCUGUAAUCCUAGGGGACCACCAGUGGCGAAGGCGUCUAACUAGAACGGGUCUGACGGUGAGGGACGAAGCCCUGGGGCGCAAACGGGGAUUAGAUACCCCUGUAGU
This 413-nucleotide ribosomal RNA is filed under the name uncultured microorganism. RNAcentral describes it as "bacterial SSU rRNA". It matches the Rfam family "Archaeal small subunit ribosomal RNA", at positions 330 to 745 of the family's 1478-position model. The record is from RNAcentral.